This 480-nucleotide ribosomal RNA is filed under the name Colletotrichum coccodes. RNAcentral describes it as "eukaryotic LSU rRNA". The stretch from base 130 to 283 matches the Rfam family "5.8S ribosomal RNA". The record is from RNAcentral. Lineage: Eukaryota; Fungi; Ascomycota; Sordariomycetes; Glomerellales; Glomerellaceae.
UUCGGCGGGCAGGGGGUGCCGCCUGCGGACCCCCCUCCCGGCCCUGCCCUCACGGGCGGAGCGCCCGCCGGAGGAUACCAAACUCUAUUUUAACGACGUUUCUUCUGAGUGGCACAAGCAAAUAAUUAAAACUUUCAACAACGGAUCUCUUGGUUCUGGCAUCGAUGAAGAACGCAGCGAAAUGCGAUAAGUAAUGUGAAUUGCAGAAUUCAGUGAAUCAUCGAAUCUUUGAACGCACAUUGCGCCCGCCAGCAUUCUGGCGGGCAUGCCUGUUCGAGCGUCAUUUCAACCCUCAAGCUCUGCUUGGUGUUGGGGCCCUACGGUUGACGUAGGCCCUUAAAGGUAGUGGCGGACCCUCUCGGAGCCUCCUUUGCGUAGUAACUAACGUCUCGCACUGGGAUUCGGAGGGACUCUUGCCGUAAAACCCCCAAAUUUUUAAAGGUUGACCUCGGAUCAGGUAGGAAUACCCGCUGAACUUAA